UAUUGGUCAAUGGGCGUAAGCCUGAACCAGCCAAGUCGCGUGAGGGAAGACGGUCCUACGGAUUGUAAACCUCUUUUGCCGGGGAGCAACGGGGUCCUUGCGAGGGCCUCAUGAGAGUACCCGGAGAAAAAGCAUCGGCUAACUCCGUGCCAGCAGCCGCGGUAAUACGGAGGAUGCGAGCGUUAUCCGGAUUUAUUGGGUUUAAAGGGUGCGUAGGCGGGCUGUUAAGUCAGCGGUCAAAUGUCGGGGCUCAACCCCGGCCUGCCGUUGAAACUGGCGGCCUCGAGUGGGCGUGAAGUAUGCGGAAUGCGUGGUGUAGCGGUGAAGUGCAUAGAUAUCACGCAGAACUCCGAUUGCGAAGGCAGCAUACCGGCGCCCGACUGACGCUGAGGCACGGAAGCGUGGGUAUCGAACAGGA
This 418-nucleotide ribosomal RNA is filed under the name uncultured bacterium. RNAcentral describes it as "bacterial SSU rRNA". It matches the Rfam family "Bacterial small subunit ribosomal RNA", at positions 362 to 777 of the family's 1533-position model. The record is from RNAcentral.